Small nuclear RNA from Sorex araneus (European shrew), 200 nucleotides. RefSeq annotates it as U2 spliceosomal RNA. The transcript has a single exon. The record is from RefSeq and is a predicted model, not a curated record. Lineage: Eukaryota; Metazoa; Chordata; Mammalia; Eulipotyphla; Soricidae.
AUCACUUCUCGGCCUUUUGGCUAAGAUCAAGUGUAGUAUCUUUUCUAACAGCUGCAUAGUAUUCCAUUGUAUAGAUGUACCAAAGUUUCUUUAACCAGUCAUUUGUUCUUCGCACUUGGGUUUUUUUCCAGAUUCUGGCUACUGUAAACAGUGCUGCACUGUCAUUUGUCAUAAACAGUGCAGAUGUCACUGUCACUAUC